CGGGUGAGUAAUAUAUCGGAACGUACCCAGGAGUGGGGGAUAACGUAGCGAAAGUUACGCUAAUACCGCAUACGAUCUAGGGAUGAAAGCAGGGGGCCUUCGGGCCUUGCGCUCAUGGAGCGGCCGAUAUCUGAUUAGCUAGUUGGUAGGGUAAAGGCCUACCAAGGCGACGAUCAGUAGCUGGUCUGAGAGGACGACCAGCCACACUGGGACUGAGACACGGCCCAG
This 228-nucleotide ribosomal RNA is filed under the name uncultured bacterium. Its description in RNAcentral is "partial 16S ribosomal RNA". It matches the Rfam family "Bacterial small subunit ribosomal RNA", at positions 103 to 334 of the family's 1533-position model. The record is from RNAcentral.